RNAcentral lists this ribosomal RNA (374 nucleotides) under uncultured bacterium. RNAcentral's name for it is "bacterial SSU rRNA". It matches the Rfam family "Bacterial small subunit ribosomal RNA", at positions 524 to 898 of the family's 1533-position model. The record is from RNAcentral.
UACGUAGGUGGCAAGCGUUAUCCGGAAUUAUUGGGCGUAAAGCGCGCGCAGGCGGUCUCUUAAGUCUGAUGUGAAAGCCCACGGCUCAACCGUGGAGGGUCAUUGGAAACUGGGAGACUUGAGUGCAGGAGAGAAAAGUGGAAUUCCACGUGUAGCGGUGAAAUGCGUAGAGAUGUGGAGGAACACCAGUGGCGAAGGCGGCUUUUUGGCCUGUAACUGACGCUGAGGCGCGAAAGCGUGGGGAGCAAACAGGAUUAGAUACCCUGGUAGUCCACGCCGUAAACGAUGAGUGCUAGGUGUUGGGGGGUUCCACCCUCAGUGCUGAAGUUAACACAUUAAGCACUCCGCCUGGGGAGUACGACCGCAAGGUUGAA